GAUGAAGAACGUAGCGAAAUGCGAUAAGUAAUGUGAAUUGCAGAAUUCAGUGAAUCAUCGAAUCUUUGAACGCACAUUGCGCCCGCCAGUAUUCUGGCGGGCAUGCCUGUUCGAGCGUCAUUACAACCCUCAGGCCCCCGGGCCUGGCGUUGGGGAUCGGCGGAAGCCCCCUGUGGGCACACGCCGUCCCUCAAAUACAGUGGCGGUCCCGCCGCAGCUUCCAUUGCGUAGUAGCUAACACCUCGCAACUGGAGAGCGGCGCGGCCAUGCCGUAAAACACCCAACUUCUGAAUGUUGACCUCGAAUAAGGUAGGAAUACCCGCUGAACUUAAGCAUAUCAAUAAGCGGAGGA
Molecule: unclassified non-coding RNA, 352 nt
Filed under: soil metagenome
Description: partial contains 5.8S ribosomal RNA, internal transcribed spacer 2, and large subunit ribosomal RNA
Rfam family: 5.8S ribosomal RNA (bases 1-120)
Source: RNAcentral